UACGAAGGGGGCUAGCGUUGCUCGGAAUCACUGGGCGUAAAGCGCACGUAGGCGGGUCUUUAAGUCGGGGGUGAAAUCCUGGAGCUCAACUCCAGAACUGCCUUCGAUACUGAGGAUCUCGAGUCCGGGAGAGGUGAGUGGAACUCCGAGUGUAGAGGUGAAAUUCGUAGAUAUUCGCAAGAACACCAGUGGCGAAGGCGGCUCACUGGCCCGAUACUGACGCUGAGGUGCGAAAGCGUGGGGAGCAAACAGG
Molecule: ribosomal RNA, 253 nt
Filed under: uncultured bacterium
Lineage: Bacteria
Description: partial 16S ribosomal RNA
Rfam family: Bacterial small subunit ribosomal RNA
Source: RNAcentral